Molecule: non-coding RNA, 87 nt
Organism: Gossypium raimondii (Peruvian cotton)
Lineage: Eukaryota; Viridiplantae; Streptophyta; Magnoliopsida; Malvales; Malvaceae
Source: Rfam
CACAUCAGCGCGCUUUACUGACGUGCACACAAAUCGCGCUUUCUUUGACUCGCUUUGUUGCCACGUCAGUAAAGCGCGCUGACGUGG